AGUAUUAUGUCUGAUAAAAGUAAUAAAUUGUAAAUUUAUUUAUGAAAAUAAUAUUUUCUAAUACUA
RNAcentral lists this transfer RNA (66 nucleotides) under Dorymyrmex brunneus. RNAcentral's name for it is "tRNA-Tyr". The record is from RNAcentral. Lineage: Eukaryota; Metazoa; Arthropoda; Insecta; Hymenoptera; Formicidae.